UACGUAGGGGGCAAGCGUUGUCCGGAAUUAUUGGGCGUAAAGGGCUCGUAGGCGGUUCGUCACGUCGGGAGUGAAAACUCGGGGCUUAACCCCGAGCCUGCUUCCGAUACGGGCAGACUAGAGGUAGGCAGGGGAGAGCGGAACUCCUGGUGUAGCGGUGGAAUGCGCAGAUAUCAGGAAGAACACCGGUGGCGAAGGCGGCUCUCUGGGCCUUACCUGACGCUGAGGAGCGAAAGCGUGGGUAGCGAACAGG
This 253-nucleotide ribosomal RNA is filed under the name uncultured bacterium. Its description in RNAcentral is "partial 16S ribosomal RNA". It matches the Rfam family "Bacterial small subunit ribosomal RNA", at positions 524 to 776 of the family's 1533-position model. The record is from RNAcentral.